This is a long non-coding RNA of Rhincodon typus (whale shark), 4484 nucleotides long. RefSeq lists it as uncharacterized. The record is from RefSeq and is a predicted model, not a curated record. NCBI's taxonomy places the organism in Eukaryota, Metazoa, Chordata, Chondrichthyes, Orectolobiformes, Rhincodontidae. The transcript has 3 exons.
ACACACAACCAGCACUGCUGGUUAAAAAGCAAUUAAUGUGAUGGUGAAGGAUGUUGGUUCCAAUGAGGUGGAAUCUGUAUGGGUAGAGCAUGGAGGAGGAAUUCCUGAAGUGUGUAUGGGAUGGUUUUCUGGAUCAAUUUGAGGAACCAACUGGGCAGCAGGUCAUCCUAAACUGGCAUUGUAAUCCAAAUAAAAGAAACUACUGUGGUAAGCAGUGUAUGCUUGCUAUAUAUCACAUGACAUCUCAUUGCUCUUGCAAAAACUUGACCUGUUUUUUUGCCUUUGGUUUUCAGCAAGUCUGUCCAAGAUCUAAGCCACAGAGCCAAUGGAUACGACUUGGACCAAUUAAGAAUGCUGUGUAUUUGCUGAUUAUAAUUGAGCCUGUUAGGGAUGACUAUUCACGUAUCUGCCUUGGUCAGGUUUACAGACCUGUAUGUUCCAGUUGGCCCCUGGCUUACAACAUUGCCGUGUUGUAUAUGAAAAUCUGAUAGGAUGCUAAUUAUCUCUGUGCUGGAUCACUUAAGCACACUUCAAAAGGAUUUUGCAUCAUUAGUGGUUUGCAGUGUGAUAGCUGAAAGAAGCUCAAACUUGACAAAUACUAAUCCCUAUUUGUGGGAUGAAAGUGGACCAAAAUUAGCAAAGUUGAUUGGAUUCAUAUAAUACCAUUUACUAUAACUUUGGUCUUAUCAGUGACCUUGUAAAUAGGAUCUGAGCCAUUGCUACACUUCGCAAACUUGAUGUUUAAAUUACAGUAUGUCAUCAUUCUGAGAAAUCAAGGUACACUUUUUUGCUCUGUAAUUGUAAAAAGCCUCAAAUGGCCGAAGGCGGCCACUUCAGUCCUGAAAAGUGCCCAGUCUACCUGUGAUUAUCCUGGAAUGUUAAGGUUUCUCAGAGGGUUGAGUGACUGAUGCUACUUUCAGCAGCAGCACAAAUGGUGGUUGCCCCUAAUUGGUGCUGUCCGCCAACAAGUUAUUCGAUCUAUCGAGUGAAUUCCUGUGCUGGACAUAGAAGCCUUGUGUUGCAAGGACAGGCAGAUUGUAUUCAAUUUCCCUUUCGAACGUUCACAACAGAUAAGGUACUGAGUGUAUCCAACCAGCCUUCACUUGCAAAACUCCAAGCAACAUCCAACUUUUAAAUAUGAUUCUGUAAUUGGACAGUGUUUGUUUGUUUGUCCUGAAUGUUCUAAGAAUUAAACUAAACUAAAGAAUGAGUCAUGGCUUACAGCAAAGUGCACUGUACUAGAAUCUGCAUAUUAAUACACGGACCUUGUUCUUUCAGACAAAAUGUGUACACACAUUGUGCCUAUUUCAACUCAACAAAGUAGGUGCAGCCACCCUCCUGGUCGAAGCACUACCCUAAGGAAUGACCAAAUCAGUCAACUUACCUUGUUUAAAUUUUAAACAAAACUUGGUUGUUAAUGUGAGUUGUAAUCUCGCUGCAUUCUCCAUGGCAACAUCUCCUAUCCAAGUCCAGUUACCAACUAAUCAACACAAGCUCUUCUCAGAUAAUAUAAAAUGUUGUUUCCCUUUGUUAGUAUUCCUAUUCAUGCCCUGAUGAAUACAAGUUGAAAACAUCGGCAAAAUCUUUAGCAAUACUCAAUUUCUGUACUGCUAAAUGAUUCAAUGAUAUUGUAUUGAUUAUCAUUGUAUAAUUUAAAUUUCUUUUAUAUUGAAGCAAUGACCAAACUAUCAUCCAAUGUAGGCUACAAAAUGAUCAGGACAGGCACCUGAAAUAAUAGAGAUCUGAUUACUGAUCAGUAAUGGGUCAGGAGGUUUAGUUUUAAUGUAACAUCUGUCUUUUAGUAAAUGUAGAUAUAGCAGUAUUAAUUUUAAAGUUUACUAUAACUAUGGCUCUGCUUGAGCUUGGAAAUAUAUAUUAACAAAUUGAAAGUCUAUUUUCAAAUGGGUUUGAUUUAAAAUGUUUUGUUGCUUUCAUUAUAUAGACUAUCUUCUGUUACAUUGGUGUUUUAAGCUCCACUACCAAAGAGCGCACAACUUCUUUAAAUGAUCCAAUUUAAUAUUUGGCUUGAGUCAAGUUCUAAGAGCUCAUCAUCGAUACUUUUUUCCUUGCAGGCAAGGAAAUCUUUUAUGCUGCUAUUUUUUUCAAGCCGCCCCUUCUCAUGGUUGUGCCAUAUAGUUGUCACACUUGUUAUUCAGACAGUGAUUGUGCUGUUGGCAAUCUAUGUGCCAAAUAUUCAAAAUAUCUUUGGUGUAGUUGGUUCCACAACCUCAACAGCUUUACUAUUUAUCUACCCUGGACUCUUUUACUUGCAAAUAAGCAGCGAAUCUUUAAAAUCCUUAAGGAAACUUAAGGCUCUAGGAUUGAUUAUUCUAGGCAUUCUCAUUGGGGCAGUUAGUUUGCCUAUGAUCAUCAUAACCUGGCUGCACAGUGAAAAUUGAGCCUAAUCAAUGUAAUUUUCAGAAGUGAAAUUACAAAACUCAGGAAAUCCAUCAGCUGAACAGGGAAAUCACCAUUAUAACCAUGUAGGUUCUCCUGAUUUACUGGCGACAUGGUGACAAGUGAAGUCACCUUUAGACGUGGGAUCAGGUCUUGCAAAUCUCUCUCGAUGAUGGGCAUGUGAAUAAAACUUGUAUUUGAGCAUCCAGAGAUAUUUGUGCAGGAUCAAAAUUAAGAAUGCUAUGCUUUGCUGAUGUUCAGUAACUGAUCUCAAUUGGGAAAGAAAUCAACUAAUUUAAAGCCAUGUUACUAUGGAGAAAUUUCUACCAAAAGGCAAAUCUCUGAUAUUACAAAUCGGGGGAAAAAAGCUCCAUUUCAAUAUUUUGUGAUUUUAAUUCAAUUGCAGUAAAAAUAUUAGUAUUUAUGCUCAGUUUAUUUCUAGAUUUUUCCAGCAUUCCAAAGUGGUCAGUUUAAAAUAAAAUAUUUAAAAACCAAUCUUUAUUAAUGUGUAAGGAGACUUUUUAAAAAAAAAAAAAAAAAUUUUAUCCAUUGCCAAAAAUCAAAUUACAUUAUUACUUUGGAUUAAGGAGUGAACCUAAGUUGUCACCUAUUGCUAUAUUUUGCACUUUAUGCUGUGCAUCUGAUUCCUUGUGUAAGUGUUAAAAUCAUGUCAGUCAUCUUUGUCUUGUACUCGUAAAUACAGGUUAAAGGCAUUUUUGCAUCUACUUUUAAUUAAAUAAAUUUAUUGCUUUAAAUUUAUUUAAUGGAAUACUAGGGGAGAAGGUGAGCUCUGAUCAGAUUGGAUAUCACAAAUUUGCUUUUUUUUCCUCAGUGGAACUGGUGACUAAUAAACCAGCAAAAUGUGGCACUUUAAAAGAUGUCUGCACUCUUGUUAAUGUGAAGUUUGACAUGCAUAAAGAUGCAGAUUACUAAUGUUCUUAAGGAAAGUUAUUCCCUUGAUUAACCGUUUAAUGUUUUUAACUGACAGGUAAUAUGGUUAACACUUAUCUUGUGAAGUGCUAAGUAAACUGAUUUUUAAUAAGUGACUUUGUUUAAAUAUUUUUGAAGCUAUUCUGGUUGGUAGUUGACACUUGGACUUUGAAUGAUCAAAGGCCUAAAAUAGCUGUCACUUGAUGCAGAUUAAUGUUGUUUAUACAUUCAGCCAGAUUAGGCACUGCACAUAAAAACAUGGCUGAUUGCAAGAUGCUACUUUUAUUCGCUGAGUAAUAUUUUGUUCUGAGCUUUAGUAAAGUUUUUUUUGUUUAGCACAAAAUAAUACAAUAGGUCGCACACUAGUGUUUACAAAACUUAGUGAGCAAAACAAAGCUAAACUUACCAGUUUUAAAAUUAAAUAAAAUACAUCUUGCCUUUUGAUCCUGAUAACCUGAUAGUGGCAGAGUUGCAUUUUAAAUAAUGCUGGUUGCAUAUUGUAGCCUAUUAGUUUUACUGUAUGUUAAUUUGUGUUCACUUAAAAUUAAGAUACUUUUUACAUCUUUGGUUUUUCCAUUAUAUACUAACAAGACAAAUCUUUGUUUACAUUUUCUGAAAAAUAUUUGUGAGAUUUUGCACUAUUUUCAAUUAUCUUGAACUUUUGUACAACAGAACAAUCUACAUGUGUUGCUUGUUUUUCUUUGAUUCCUGAAAGUUUGUCGUCUACUUUUUUUAUGUUUGAAUCCUACUGGGAAAAAUGUAUUACUGGUGAUCUAACUUCCCAAAACAUUUUCCGAAACACUGCAAUAAUUUUACUUUUUCUUCAAAAGGCACUUUUCAUUUUGUAUAAAGCUUCAGAUUUGUACCCUUUUUAGUUCAAUUAUGAUAUUCUAUUAAUGCACCUCAUAUAAUCGAUCGUGGUAUCCUCAGGAUUCUGUUUAUUGCAUUUUGAUAUUCUGUUAAUAAACCGUGCAAUUUAUCAGCUGUUUGUUAAAUCUGUAGUUUAUAUUUUUGUAAAAAGCUAUUGUGCUGUAUUUUAAACCUUUUGAAUAUUUCUAAAUGCCAGUGUAAAUUCCAUCAGUGUAUAUUUCAAUAUUGAAGUGGUUAAUCAUGUUUAUUGUUGUAAAAUAAAAUGUCUAUGCAACAUUGCAAUAGUA